GGCGGGUGGCGCUCGAUGGUGGGCAACUAGUCUCGAAAACUAGGCUAACCGCAAGGUUAAGGGUUCGACUCCUUCACUCGCCGCCA
Molecule: transfer RNA, 86 nt
Filed under: Sphingopyxis sp. JAI128
Lineage: Bacteria; Pseudomonadati; Pseudomonadota; Alphaproteobacteria; Sphingomonadales; Sphingopyxidaceae
Description: tRNA-Ser
Source: RNAcentral